AGAUGUAGAGGACACUUUCAGGGGACUGCAUUUUCUCUUUUUGUUUCACUUUUGUACUUGCUGGACAGACUGCUGCCACGCCAGCUGGCUAGGUUGCUCUGGACAGCGUCACUGGUGGAACAGCACCAAGCCAAGUCUCUUCUCUGGCACAGACACUCUGCUGUGCCGUCAGCCUGCUCUGCCCUCAAUGGAAGGUGUGGGUAAUUAAGGAUCCUGACGUCAAACUCCCAGCAGAUGACACACCCUGUUCCAACAACGGCUCUGGUGACAUUUCCUGAGGAAUAACAGUGACACAAAAUCCAGCAUAGAAACCAAGAAAGGUCAUUCGACCGCUCCCUGUCCUUUGGAAUUCUGCCCUUUGACUUUUCCUUCAGCGACACUGACAGAUUCCCUCCCCGUUUCUGUGUCAUUUUUUGGCAUCAUAUCAUAAAAAGAAAUGGUGACAAUUCCAUUUUAAGCACCUUUGUUGACUCCCCACACACAAUCUAGUCCAUUCUCUCUGAAUCUCCUAAUCGUACCAUGUGUAUUAAAACACCGGUGUCAAGUUUUCAAGUAAGGAAACCGAGGCACAGUGAGCCUGUGUGACAGAUCUGGUGCUAGUGCCAUGGCUACAAGACACUUUCCUCACACUGCACUGUGCCAGUCAUGACCACGACUGCGAGAGACGGUGUUUUAAAACAUCCCCAGCUGUUCUGGUCCAGAUGGCCUGUAUGGUUCGCAUUGGUGAUCUCUGGCAUAGCAGAGAAAGCACAGAAUUGAUACGACUGUUUCAAGCUCCUGGCUUCCUUGAUUUCUCUGUCAUGAUGGAUCACACCCUUGAACUCACUUGGAAGUCACCAGAGUGCUGGAGCCACGGGCUCCAAACCCAGCACAAGCCAGCAUGUUCUCCACUCAUUUCUAAACAUGAGCAGACUCCAGACUGCUGUCUUCAUACAGGAUGGAAAAUGAGAGAGAGAGAGAGGGAGGAGAGAGAGAGGAGAGAAUAUGCCUGGAGGGCCACUAAGCAGCAGAAGAGGACACCAGUGUGGCUGCAGACAGUGCAGGACUUCAGAUGGGUACUUAUGGAGCUUGAAGAUUAAGAGAUGAAAAAACACAAUCCACACUGCCAGAGGAGCUACGAAACAAGGAGGACCCCAAGAGAAGAUUGCAUAGUCCCUUGAAGAAGGGGAUGGGGAUAAGAACCCCUGACCAAAUUAGAGCCCCGGGGCAGGGAGAGGAAGGAGAGUCUUCAUCCAGUUGCUGUCUGAAGCAGAAGCAGACACCCAUAGUUAAACACUGAACUAUACUACUGGAAUUCAGUUGUGGAGAGGGAGGAGGGUUGAGCAAAGGAGCCAAGACAGGGAUGGAGAGACCUGCAGAAACAGUGGACCUGACCUACUUAUAGCAUGGAGACCCUAGUCAUAAAGCUGGGGAAACAGCAUUGGACCAAACCAAACCCUCUGAAUGUGGAUACCAGCUAGGAGCCCAAGACAGUCUAUGGGACCUCUGACAGUGGAGCCAGUCCUUAUCCCUAGAGCACAAAUGGACUUUUGGAGCCCAUUCCCUGUGGAAGGAAACUAUUGCAGCCCAGAUACGUGAAAGAGAGCCUAGGCCCUCCCCCAAAUGAUAUGAUGGACUUUGAAGGUCCCUGGUGGAGGGCCUCACUAUCCCUGGGAAGGAGUCGGGGGGGG
RNAcentral lists this long non-coding RNA (1670 nucleotides) under Cricetulus griseus (Chinese hamster). Its description in RNAcentral is "lncRNA (ENSCGRG00015035425.1)". Lineage: Eukaryota; Metazoa; Chordata; Mammalia; Rodentia; Cricetidae. The record is from RNAcentral.